CGCGGGGUGGUGUAGCAGUAACACGUCGGGCUCAUAACCCGAAGUUCGAAGGUGCAAGUCCUUCCCCCGCAA
Molecule: non-coding RNA, 72 nt
Organism: Chloroflexi bacterium 13_1_40CM_4_68_4
Lineage: Bacteria; Bacillati; Chloroflexota
Source: Rfam